This is a long non-coding RNA of Equus caballus (horse), 1446 nucleotides long. NCBI's taxonomy places the organism in Eukaryota, Metazoa, Chordata, Mammalia, Perissodactyla, Equidae. The record is from Ensembl.
AAGUAUCCCUGGUCCCCCAAGAGGGAAUCUUUCUCUCCUUUACCCUUUGGUGUUUCUUAAUGUGCUGCUUGGCCUGUCUGUCCUCCCCUGACUGAGCACCUUAAGGACGGCUCUGUAGCUGAGAUACGUGGGCGAGGGAGUCAAGGACUGCUGGAAUGAAUGAACAUAGGAGCAGCCAGUCUGCCUGUUUCCUGCCAACACUUCCAGUCUUUAACUACCUUUCGGGUUUUGCCCCUUCCCUGCUCAGACUUUCUCCGUAGCUCCCUGUUUCUUAGCGCAUCCAGUCUGCUGUGUAUGCCUCUUCCCAGCUGUGGGUAUGCCCCUCAGCCCAUGGGUCGCACUCACAAUCAGGCACCCUUUCCUUCUCCAGGCCAGCCUUGUGCUGGCCACUUCCCCAGGGACAGGCGUGUGAGCCUCUUGCUGGCCUUAUGGAGCCCUCAAACUGGAGAGGAUGCAAGAGGGGAGAUGCCCAGCAACAAUACCAGGCUGAGCGUACAAGGAUAAGAACGUGUACAGGAGCAGAACUUGUACCACAGACGAAGGAGAGGGAGUAGAGAGAGCUUCAGGGAAGGGAGAGGGAAUGCUGAGCAGGGUUUAGAAGGCUGAAUAUGAGUUCACCAGGUGGAUCAGAGGGAAGGCCAUGCUUGGCAGAGGGAAGAUAGCAGAUAGGCAGUGAGUAAUUGCUGAAGAGAAGAAAGAAUCUCUAGACUACACUCAGAGAUUGAUGGUGGAGCCCUAGAUUUGGACUCCCGGGUCAGCUCUGCUAUUUACUUGCUAAACAUCACUGAGCAAGCUCCUUUUCUGGAGUCUCAAGACCCACAUCUGUAAAAUGGAUGUAACAUCCCUCCUGGGACUGCCUGACGAGAAACGGAUAUACAUAAAAAUUUAUCCAAAUAAACAGUGUGAUUCAUGACGUCAGAAAUUCAAUCAACUCCCUUUCCCAGGUCAGGGUGGUAUUUGAAGACAAAGCAGAAUGGCCAGAAAAACAGCUUUACCCUCGCCCCACCCCACCAUACCUGUCCAGACCCCCAGGACCUGCUCAAAAUUCCAUUUCUAGGUGAUCUCUCUCUGUAAACGUUUUAUGACCCCUGGAGGCUACUGUUUAGAGGUAAACUCAUCAGAAGCGAUUGACACUGGAUCAGAGAGAGAUUCUCAGGUGGACAAGUUUAUUUUGGGUGUGGCUAAGUCCUGGGGAACAGGAUUUAACUCCAACCAGGGAGGGAACACCGGAGAAAGCCCACGGAAGUGGCAUCCGAGUCUGGAAAGUUGGGAUGCAGGGGGAGGUAGGGCAGGAGCAGAUGGCUGGAGGGGGACCACGAAGGAGCAGCUUGAGCCGGAGAGAGAGCCAGGCAAGGAUAGCCUGGGCUUCUGUACAGCCUGCCAGCUGGGGCCAAGAGGGAGCCUUCUGAGCGGACGGGCCCUGAUGUGGAAAAGCUUACGAAGCCU